GGGUCCUGCACACCGGAGGGACUCGGCAGCCGGGGGCACGGAGGCUCCCCUUGAAGAUCCGGCUCUGGAGAGACAAGAGGGAGGAAGGGCAGCGAGCCUGCCUGGUAGGGGUGCGCAGGGGUGGGGGCAGCGGAGGAGACUUGCGCGCUAGCUCCGGUACUGGGGCGCGGGCAGCGUAGCCCUGGGCCGCUCUCGAGUCUGGCAGUUGCAUCGGCGCGACCUGGAGUGAAGCGCCGAGACGAGGCGGUGUCGGGGUGGGGGUCCAAGGCCAGUACAAGACGCAGGGGUGUGGGGGACUGGGCUAGGAGCACAGGGGAGCGCUCAGUGAGCGAUUUUCCAGCCGAGCCGCUACAAGCCCCAUUGGGCACUCAGCAGCCGGCGUGUGGGCCAGCGGGGGGAGGGCGCACGGGGCGGGCAUGUCUGGUUCAGUGUCUGGUUCCCGUUGUUGUGUCUUGCUAAUUCCCUGGAAAGAAAGAGGCUAACUGCUCCGGGGACUAGGGACUUUGGUGAGACAAGGUAAGAGGGGGGAAAAGGCCCAUAUCUUUAUGUUCUCCCUCGGACUUGGCCAGAGAAGAACCACAGUCACCUUGCACUCCAGACAGCCAGAAAGCAGCGAGUCGGCACCUUGCUUGUCUCCCUCUUAUCCCAGCCGGUUUUUAGCCAUCGCUAAGCCUAGGGCGAGGUUUCAGUCCGGUUUCAGCGUUUCUCCUCUACCUAGUCCCCUGAGGACCCCAGAUUUCUCGCGGUACAGAUCCAGAGAGGGUGGGGUAAGUAAGAAUGGGGAACGUCACAGGGGAAACGAACUUGCGCGCAGCGCGCAGGAGGCGGCGGACAAAGAUCUUGCGCGGCGCCCCUGCUCGACUCUUGGCGCUGGCGCGAUGGCACCCGAAGGCCCCGGGACAGAGAGAGUGCGGGCUAAUCUGGGUAGAUCGAGGACCCCGCAGAGGAGCGCCCACCGGCCAUCGCCUCCACACCCUCCCUCCGACCUCACACCUAGCCCCCCGCGCGCACCGGCACAGCAACUCGGGCAGCGGGUCGACUACGGCCGCUGGGAAAGUAACAGGUUACCGUUCCUAGUAGCGCCUUCGGCUGCUACUGCCCAGGCGCCCCUUGGAGGGACAGGCGCUCGCAGCAUGGAAGCUCAAGGGAAAAUCGCUCUUGCCCCACUUCAACUAGAGCCUCAGCCUCCGUGCGUCCCCGGGGCGUGAAUCCGGAGGGCAGGGAUAAGAAGAGUGACGAGGGCGGGGGGAUCCCUGCGCAGCGCACCCAUGGAGAGCAGGAACUAGGGCGGGCAGGAAGCACUCAUUUCGGGAGGUUGGGUGGCCGGCGCUGGGGAUGGGGUUGGUUGAGAAGCCGCGGGCGGAGAGGACCUGGCUGAAAAGCCACGGUUGGGUGCUGGGAAAUCCAGGUGGUCGCUCGCUUACCCACCUCGGCUCGGCGACAGCGAGCCGGGCAGUCCCGCUUUUCCUUUGCACAGCGCCCAGCGAUCCGCUCGGCUCGGCCCUGACAGGCGUAAUCUGCCCGGCGUCACCUCCAGCUGCUUCCUCGUUCUCGCUAGUUCCGUCUCGCACGCGAGCGCCAGGAGAAGAGAGAGAUUCGGAGAGGCGGCUGCACGGCUUCGGGGAGAUGAGCGGCGGUUUUGCCUCAGUCCUUUUCCCCGGGGUUCCCCCAGAUCUGUGACCCUGCGACGCUUCCUUGAGCGAAAGCGCGCUUUGGGUCGUGUCCUCGUUGACUCUGUACGGAGCUGGGAUUGUUGUAACGGCAAAGGAGGCAGAAAUGAGGGGAGACCUCUCAGACCAUGGAGGAAUUACAGUUUCCUCAUCCAGCCCUAGGCCUCAUCAAAGUACCACACCUGGCCACAGCUACCCGGUGCCACCGGCAGAGAAAAGGACCCCGCGUCCCUUUCGCUAUGCGCUCGCCCCUCGCUUUGGCCCUGGUGAUGGGAAAAGAAGGCCUCCUGAUGAAUCACGUCUGAAGGUUGAUGACACGCACGAGCGCCGCUGCACGCGCAUGGGGAACCCGAGCACAGAGGUGCCCCGGGAGGGGAGGACCAGCCCCCCUCGCCCUGGCCCACUGCCCCUUCGAUUUCACGUGCUUUAAGGAUUCUCCCUUUGCAACAUUUAGGCGUAGUUGAAAGAACCGCUGCGUUGGGAAAAGCCCCUCGCCGUAAAAAUGCGUUGAUAGAGAAAUUCCCACCAGAGGGCGCCAAGAGCCCAGAGACCCAGCGGCCCUGCUCUCCCGGGUCUCUCCUCCAGCGCCCGAGCAGAGCCCACACCUGGAGCUGCCGGCCAGGCGGUUACGCGCCGGCCUGCCUCUUCAUGCCUUCCCUCACCGCCCUGUCACUAGUUUAAGUUCUCCCCUUUCUUCUCCCCCAGUUUCUUUUUCUUUAGGGCAAAAAAGUUGAUGUCUGUGCGUGUCUGGGUGACACCGUGUAGGUAAUGAUUCCUUUACUGGUAUUUACCAUGGUCCUCCCCCUCUCCCCCGGUGUUGCAGCACGCAGGGGUUAUUUAUACGCACGUCUGGGGCCUCACUGGUUCAACCAAGGCCCGUGCGUUUUCUUUCAAUGCCUUAUCGCCUUUCACCACAACACAAUGGAAACACACAAAAAUAUUAUAAAUCACCGAGAGUUCCAUAAGGGAGAUCGAAGGGUCCGCCCUGGGCAGACAUGGCCUGAUCAGCAAGAGGGAUCUCGCUGUGGGGUUUGAAAUAAUCUCGUUGCCUUUGGUACUAAAGAAACUACUGUUUUGUCGCCUUGUCUCCACCUGACAAUAAAAUCCCGGGCACUUUUUAGGACACAAAAAACAUCCUAAACGGCGGGGCGCGCGGUGACUGCAGCCCUGGGCACUGAGGCUUGGGGCUGGACAGGCUGGGGGUGCCUGCUCCACGUAGGAAACGUCCCCCCAAACCACUCAACCAGCAGCUGCUCUGCGCCGCUUGAAGUGGGCGGCAUACAACCAGGUGAAGCUCGGAAUUCCAUCCACCGGCCCUCCUAGAGCCUUCCCCUAAACGAGACGGUCGCACCAAUCAGGGAGCCAGGUGCCAGUGCUAAAUCAUUCAAGACGCACGGGGCAGGAGACAGGAGGGAGGAGGCAACAUAUCUCCUGGUGCCGCUCGUUCUUCAUUGUCCAGCAUAGACGCCCGCUCGCCCUGUCUCCUCAACCUUUUCCCAAAACCCGUGAUUCCCUGGAAAGGAAGAUUCGUUUACUUCACCUGUGGCACGAGAUUGAGACAUUUCCAAACAUUUCCUCCUUUGACCCCAGAGUUCAAAACACCCCUAACGUUUUAGCCAAUAAAAUAAUCUCGUUGGAGAAGGAAUCUUCUGCAAGGCUAGGUAUCGCAAGCUGACGCUGAGUCCGUCCAGCUUCGAGGACAUCCCUCUCUUUCUCCUUUAUGGUGAGUAGGGGAGGAAUAAAGCCUCUUGCCCGUCCUUGUUUAGAAUGUUUAAUUGAAUAUUAGCAACAAUUGAUUAAACGAAUAUUUACUAAUCCCCUACUAUGUGCCAACCACUUAUUUUUUGGGGCUUGCAUUGUCCCUGCGGUUUAUAUUAUCCUGCACGCCGGGAGUGGACAUUCCAGUGAGGCAGGGAGAGGACCGGACUUAGAAACUUCAUAAAUUUGAUUUAAUUUGCAAUGAUUUCCUCCUCCAACUCAGACUCUUGGGCACAGCAGGAAUGGUAAGGAAUUGAAGGCCUGGAAUUCCACCCCAUCCAGACACUGAGUUUUGAGGUAGGGCAUAGAUCUUUCAGCACGAAGGACAGCGCCCGCCCUUCUGGUCCCCACGCCUCUGUUUCGUUUGCUUCCGCCAAUAGCUAUGGGCCAACCCACCAGGCUCGCCCCAGCCCUCCUCCCUCCUGGCAGUAACUGCUGUGUUUGUUUUGCCUAGAUGCGGGGUGAGGUAUUUCGCCCACUGCUCUUCUCGCCGGUAGGAAUUUGAACUAAGAGUGGCCGUGGUUGUCAUUCGGCUCUAAAAAACAUUUGAAACCUA
Long non-coding RNA from Symphalangus syndactylus (siamang), 3984 nucleotides. RefSeq lists it as uncharacterized. Lineage: Eukaryota; Metazoa; Chordata; Mammalia; Primates; Hylobatidae. The record is from RefSeq and is a predicted model, not a curated record.